GGUAUAACUCGGAUAUCUGGUGUUCGGGAAGACGGUGCAAAUCCGUCACUACCGCGUAACUGUAAGCGCUAAGAGCCUGGCAUAUAAGGUCACUGGGAUCAGAGUCCUGGGAAGGCCGAUCAAGCUCCACGAGGCGCAAGUCAGGAGACCGGCCAGAUACGGGCUUAAUUC
RNAcentral lists this non-coding RNA (171 nucleotides) under Granulicella mallensis MP5ACTX8. RNAcentral also lists the same sequence under 1 other name. The record is from RNAcentral. Lineage: Bacteria; Pseudomonadati; Acidobacteriota; Terriglobia; Terriglobales; Acidobacteriaceae.